UCUUCAUGUCAGUCUUGUAACAUUUCACUCUGUCCUGCACAUCCUCACUUUCUAUUUUCACUCGUCACACUCACAGAUGCAAUUAUCACUCAUGAUUACUCAAAUCCAGCCCCCACUGUUUACACUUUGGUGAGUACUUCCCCUUUCAUAUGCAUCUCUAAUGUCUUCCUUUUUUGUGUUCUCUUUGUUCUCAGUGUUUUGUUCCAGUAAUCCAUUUGUCUUUUUGCAGGUUCUUCCUCUUAAUCCCCCUCCCUUUUAAACCACAUCUGUUUCUCGCUUUUUUGUUGACGCCAUGUCGCAGUGUCUCCCCCUCAUACACGCACAUACUGGUCAUCAGGAAACAGCCAAAUGAACAUUCAUGAAGUUUUUUUCACACACACACUAAAACACACCUCAUCCACGGAAAGCAAAACCAUGAUUUAAGCCUAUACAGUACAUGUAGAGACAUGAUGCUUUAAACACAUUCACACAUACACAAACACACAUGCAGGUCCCAUGAAGCCAGAAUAUGAACAGAUGAUCAGUUUGGCUGUCAGGGCAAACAGGCUGAGUUCAGAACAUUGGCAGCCACAGCAAUGCCACUACUAAUUGCCUUUCUCUGCGUAUUCUCUUGGUGUGUGUGUGUAUGUGUGAGAUCCUCACAUGCAGAGUGAGUAUGGUGUCUUUCACACCCUCUGUGUGCAGAACGUGGUGACUCAACAUGAGAUCACAUGUGUGCGUGUAAAAUGUGAUAUGGCUUAGCGAACUUGUGAGGACUGACUUGUGACAGCCCACCAGCCCUGACAUUUUGAAUUGUUAGGACAUUUUGACCAAUUGCAAAAGACACAAAACAGCUCACUUUGAGAUUGCGCCUACAUCUACAGUAAUGCAGUGUUUGCAAACGCACUAACUGUGGAGUGGCCCGGAGUUUCAGUUGAAUAUCCACCUUGAAACCUCAUGUAAGGGAGCAAAAUACUUCGGUUUAAAAUCUCUAUUCCAAUUACACUUAGCGUGUACUAUUCCUUUUAAAAUGAUACUCCACCCAAAAACAAUCUUCCUGACGAGAAACAGAAUGGAAAAUGUUGUUGAGGGUGAACAUCAUCUGUGUUCAGAUGAAACUGAGUUAGUUAUGAUGGAUUCCAUCACAACGGGAUAUUUGUUUUGUAAUUUCAUGGGGAGAUGGGUCAGAUAUUUGGCAUUACACAAAAAUAAUUCUGUUCAAGGCGGAUAUUUGUUUUCUUGUUUAAAUCAUUCAACGGAUAUUUCCCUUUAUGCAUAUAUAGCAUAAAAACAUAUUUGUUAAGGAACCUGUAAAUUUGGUUAUUUGAACUGUCAUAGCAGUUGUAACAAGAAAGUCCUUUGGGGUGUGAAGCACCUAGAGGAAGUUACAGAGAACAUACCACCUCCUGACAGGAAGGCCCCCAGUGUGAAACGUCUUGCAGAUAACAUUUUUAGAUUUCAGGUUCCAUUUUCAGAGGAGGGAAAAUUGCAAACAUACUUCCUAUGACAUAAUAUGGCAUAUGAAAGCAGUGUUAGUUGUGUGUUUUUACUUCAACUUUUCUUACGUGGUGACCCACCCUGCCUAUUGAGAAAUGGCUACUUCUAGUACAAGCGAUGGGGUCAGCAUAAUCAACUUAACUUACCUGUCAGCGGGUCCGUCAUUACAGGCUCAGACUGUGCAGCUAAACAUUGCUCACAACAACAGAGCUUCUCACGUUCAUUGCAUAUUACAAGGUUUCCAAGCAGACCAAAUUGUCAGGGUAAAUUUGGGUGAAAUGUGCAUAAAAUGACUCCCAAGGCAUCUAGAAGAUUUCCAUUUGAUGGAAUGGUUCAGCCAUCAAAAAUGUGGAGUCUUCUGUUUAAGUAUUUCACCCAGAGUAAACAUCAUAUAUCUCCAGCGGAGCUUUGGCUGACAUAGAAUAUAUAUGAUGUUGUCAGACAGGGUGGCAUGAGAUGAGUUUUCAAACCUUAAAGCUACUUCAAGAGGAAAAUUGGUGUCCAUUUUCUCAGCUAUCUAUGUUGCCAUGGGUAGCACCGUAAGCACUGCUGCUAAACAACAUAUUCAAGUUACCUCAGCUCAAAGAAAGUCAUAUCUCUCCCUGGUGUUUCUUCAACUCAUGGCAACAGUGUAGUCACUCACUCAAUAUUUUCCUUACGCUAGCGCACAGCAUGCUAGUGGCUUACCAUGAGGUACGUGAUGUGUGUCACAGAAGCACCUAAUGUCUACAUGUUGUGAUUACUUCUUGCCUGUGUUUGAUAUGGACAAAGCGGUCUGGAGUGAAUGGGAGUGUUUGAUCUAUUUUAAGGUCCACGGGAAAUAAUGUGUUACUGCUCAAUAUGGUUCAAUGCAGUAUCUUUAUUGUCUCCCAGUGUCACGCCAACUGACAAAAAAGCACAACCAAAACAUCAAAAACCUUUCAUUCACUUUGCAAACAAAACAAGUCUUCAGCCGGACCUACAGGGGGCAGUCAAUCAGUUCAACAACACCAGCAAAGCACUCCAACCACUUCCUGUCAAGAGGAGGAACUUCCUGUUAGACGGCCAUCUUAACCAUCAGUUCAACACAUGCUGUGGGAGACAAAGGAGGAAAGUUUGUGGAGAGCAAAAGCUUAAAGAAACAAACCAAACCAAGAAAACUAAAAUCCCUCAGUUCACCGUCAAACGCAACUGGUUUUCAACCUGCUGCUAUUGAAUGACUGAAUGACCCCUUCAUCAACAAAACAAAGUUCAAUAAAACAUAAAAAGGGGAAAUCCUUGUCAAGAGUUGUUCCUUGCGUGACCAAGCUCUUUCAAGUGGAGCAUUAACUGAGGGAUCAAAUAAAAAGAAGAAAAAAAAAAAA
Molecule: long non-coding RNA, 2819 nt
Organism: Scatophagus argus
Lineage: Eukaryota; Metazoa; Chordata; Actinopteri; Scatophagidae
Exons: 2
Source: RefSeq, a predicted model, not a curated record